Molecule: ribosomal RNA, 492 nt
Filed under: uncultured bacterium
Lineage: Bacteria
Description: bacterial SSU rRNA
Rfam family: Bacterial small subunit ribosomal RNA
Source: RNAcentral
GGGGAAACCCUGACGCAGCAACGCCGCGUGAAUGAUGAAGGCCUUAGGGUUGUAAAGUUCUGUCUUCUGGGACGAUAAUGACGGUACCAGAGGAGGAAGCCACGGCUAACUACGUGCCAGCAGCCGCGGUAAUACGUAGGUGGCAAGCGUUGUCCGGAUUUACUGGGCGUAAAGGAUGCGUAGGCGGAUAUUUAAGUCAGAUGUGAAAUACCCGGGCUCAACUUGGGUGCUGCAUUUGAAACUGGAUAUCUAGAGUGCGGGAGAGGUAAGUGGAAUUCCUAGUGUAGCGGUGAAAUGCGUAGAGAUUAGGAAGAACACCAGUGGCGAAGGCGACUUACUGGACCGUAACUGACGCUGAGGCAUGAAAGCGUGGGGAGCAAACAGGAUUAGAUACCCUGGUAGUCCACGCCGUAAACGAUGUAUACUAGGUGUAGGAGGUAUCGACCCCUUCUGUGCCGCAGUUAACACAAUAAGUAUUCCGCCUGGGGAGUA